GUCACAGGUGAGGGUCGGAAGGUCAGUGAUGUGAUGUAAAAGGUCUGAAGCCCA
Electrophorus electricus (electric eel) is the source of this 54-nucleotide microRNA precursor. NCBI's taxonomy places the organism in Eukaryota, Metazoa, Chordata, Actinopteri, Gymnotiformes, Gymnotidae. The record is from Ensembl.